Long non-coding RNA from Harpegnathos saltator (Jerdon's jumping ant), 330 nucleotides. RefSeq lists it as uncharacterized. NCBI's taxonomy places the organism in Eukaryota, Metazoa, Arthropoda, Insecta, Hymenoptera, Formicidae. The record is from RefSeq and is a predicted model, not a curated record. The transcript has 3 exons.
CUUGGUGAUGACUUUGACGCGAGAUUUGGUCUCACUCUCACCUAUGUCUUGAACCGGCGGAUGUUGCUCGUACGUCCGCGAGCAAGUAACCACCACCCUUGACCAGUUGUCCCUUCAGAGCCAGCACACCGCCGCCUAUCGCCUUGAGAGCUUGAAACACUGUGCUAAAAAUCGUCUUCUUGAAGUCCCAAGCACCGAAGGGCUUCUCUUCGUACUGGAGAAAUAAUGCGACUGAGAUGUUAGAGCGUCUUUGCAGUACUAUAUCACAUGGCCUCAAUUAUCUUCUCCCCCCGGAAACAUCUGUUCAUUCUUUGAACGAAGGAAAGGAAG